This is a non-coding RNA of Fomitopsis serialis, 84 nucleotides long. The record is from the annotation of a RefSeq genome assembly. Lineage: Eukaryota; Fungi; Basidiomycota; Agaricomycetes; Polyporales; Fomitopsidaceae.
GUUCCCAUCGAUUAGUGGUCAGAUCAUCACGUUGUGGCUACACCAAAAACCGUGGAGACGGGGGCUCGACUCCCCCUGGGAACA